GUUGUUUCCACCUAGCAGCACCUGAAGGGCUGUAAAUCAUCUUGGAAGAUACAAUCUCAGGGGACUCCACUGUCUUUACUUUACACAUGGGCUGCUAUAGGACCUCAGUGUGCCUACCAGUUGAUGGGGACCACAGAUGGUGGGCAGAGCAAUGUCUUCAACCCCACACACAUCGAGGCCCGUCAUUGCUGUGAGCUCCAGCAAGGCAGACGUGACUUCGAAGUAGCUCAGAUUUCCAUCGCAGGGCUGGCCCCUGUGCAAUUUUAAUGAGCAUCCAGGCUGUUUUGGGACUAGUCGGCACUAAAAUCCCCCGAGGACUUGGGCUCAUGCAGCAGGACUGGACAGACGCCCUUAAAUCAUUAACUUGUUAAAACCAAUAAGGGGAUGUGGAACCACAAUUAAAACCUACACAAGGAGGGCUAAGAGGGGCGAGGGACUGAAAUCAGCAUGCCUUGGUUCAGAGAUCAGACUUGAGCCCCUGUUUGACUGUUCUCUUACAGCACCAAGGAUGCACCACAGACACAACCACACCAGGCACUUCUCUACUACCUAUAGUGGGUAUUCACUCAUUGUGACCUCAUGAA
This is a long non-coding RNA of Micropterus dolomieu (smallmouth bass), 584 nucleotides long. RefSeq lists it as uncharacterized. NCBI's taxonomy places the organism in Eukaryota, Metazoa, Chordata, Actinopteri, Centrarchiformes, Centrarchidae. The transcript is spliced from 5 exons. The record is from RefSeq and is a predicted model, not a curated record.